This 504-nucleotide ribosomal RNA is filed under the name Hyperolius glandicolor. RNAcentral describes it as "partial 16S ribosomal RNA". It matches the Rfam family "Bacterial large subunit ribosomal RNA", at positions 1846 to 2567 of the family's 2925-position model. The record is from RNAcentral. Lineage: Eukaryota; Metazoa; Chordata; Amphibia; Anura; Hyperoliidae.
UAAGAGGUCCCGCCUGCCCCGUGAUUUAAUUUAACGGCCGCGGUAUCUUGACCGUGCAAAGGUAGCAUAAUCAAUUGUUCUUUAAAUAAGGACUAGUAUGAAUGGCAUUACGAGGGUUUAACUGUCUCCCUAUUUUAAUCAAUGAAAUUGAUCUUCCCGUGAAGAAGCGGGAAUAUAACUAUAAGACGAAAAGACCCCAUGGAGCUUUAAACUUAUUUUCAAUUACCAAAAUCCAAAACAUAUACCUGGUAAAAAUGAUAAUCGUUUUCGGUUGGGGCGACCCUGGAGAAAAAUAAAUCCUCCAAGCUGAAUAGAUUAAAAAUCUAAUGUUAGAGUAACAACUCAAACAAUCAAAAUCUUGACAAAAUGACCCAGAAUUUAUCUGAUCAACGAACCAAGUUACCCUGGGGAUAACAGCGCAAUCCAUUUCAAGAGCCCCUAUCGACAAAUGGGUUUACGACCUCGAUGUUGGAUCGGGAUAUCCUAGCAGCGCAGCCGUUGCUU